UUCCUUUUUGUAUUACGGUCUUUAGAAAAUAAAAUUUAUAAAUUUUUGUUCAAAAAGAGUUUAAUUUAAAUUUGUCAAAAUAUUAUUUUGAAAAAUAAGUGAUUGAUUUUUUUUAGAAAAUAAAAAAUAAAUAUAGGCAAAUUUAGGUGUGAUAUUCUUUCGUUUCUCUUUAUUUAAUUAAAUAAAUUUUAUGUUUAAGCAUAAAAAUAUAAAUAAGGUUAUUAAUUUAAAUAAUAAAAAAUAAUAUUUUAUAAUGAUAAUUUGUUUAUUAUUAUUUAAAAAUUUUUAAAAAAAAAUAACUUUUUAAUUUAUUUUUAUAUAUAAAAAUUAUGGUAUGAUUGUGAAAUAAAUUUUAUAUAACUCAAUUUUUAUACAACUGUUUAUUAAAAACAUUUCUUUUUUAUUAAAAAGUAAAACCUGCUCAAUGAUUUUAAAUAAUUAAAUAGCUGCAGUAUUCUAACUGUACAAAGGUAGCGAAAUCACAUGCCUGAUAAUUGCGGGAUUGUGUGAAAGGUUUAUUAUGAUAUAAAUAAUGUUUUAUAAAAUUUUUAACUAAAAAUUUAAUGAACAGUAUAGAUUCUGUUUGAAAAAUUAAGACGAAAAGACCCUACAGAGUUUUUAUUUAAUUUAUAAUAAUUUAUAUAUUAAAUUUUAGGUGGGGAAUCUAGUUUUAAAACAAAAUAUUAUUUAAAAAAUAAAACUUCCUUAGGGAUAACAGGGUAAUAAAAUUUUAAAGUUCCUAUUGAAAAUUUUGUUUACUACCUCGAUGUUGAAUUAUAAUAAAAAUUAAAUGUAGAAAUUUAUGAUUUUAGUCUGUUCGACUAUUAAAAUUAUUCAUGAUUUGAGUUUAGACCGAUGUAAAUCAGGUUAGUUUUAAUCUAAUAAUGAAAAAGUUGUACGAAAGGAAUCUUUUUUCUUAA
RNAcentral lists this ribosomal RNA (920 nucleotides) under Obama sp. MAP-2014. RNAcentral describes it as "16S ribosomal RNA". The record is from RNAcentral. Lineage: Eukaryota; Metazoa; Platyhelminthes; Tricladida; Geoplanidae.